GGAGCGGUAACACGGUCGGUUUUCAAACGGCCUGUCGUGCCAGGGCUCGCGGGUUCGAGCCCGGUCCGCUCCGCCA
RNAcentral lists this transfer RNA (76 nucleotides) under Pseudomonas sp. NFACC36. Its description in RNAcentral is "tRNA_Pseudo_GTC". Lineage: Bacteria; Pseudomonadati; Pseudomonadota; Gammaproteobacteria; Pseudomonadales; Pseudomonadaceae. The record is from RNAcentral. RNAcentral also lists the same sequence under 5 other names.